RNAcentral lists this long non-coding RNA (273 nucleotides) under Gallus gallus (chicken). RNAcentral's name for it is "lncRNA (ENSGALG00010026038.1)". Lineage: Eukaryota; Metazoa; Chordata; Aves; Galliformes; Phasianidae. The record is from RNAcentral.
GCCAACUUCUGUGCCCACCUGCCUGGCAGCAAACCUGCACUCCGCGUGCACACAGAACGGAUCCUUCCUUCCACAGAAAAGGAAACCUCUGAAUGUUUAAUCUUUAUUUCGCAUCAUGCCCUAAUUUUAACAGUUUCUGUACGGUGGCUCAGUGAGGUCCACCAUCCUCAGUGAGGUCCACAGUGAGAACCCUGCAUGCAUUGGCAGAAACACAUUCCUCAAGGUUGAUCAGCACCAUUACAAAACAAGAGAUGGACACAGAGGAAAAGCAGG